GAAGGUUUAGCUCAGUGAUAGAGGGCAUGGCUAACAUACUUGAGGCUUUGGGUUCAAUCCCCAACACCCUCA
This 72-nucleotide transfer RNA is filed under the name Urocitellus parryii (Arctic ground squirrel). RNAcentral's name for it is "Spermophilus parryii (Arctic ground squirrel) tRNA". It matches the Rfam family "tRNA". Rfam says of the family: Transfer RNA (tRNA) molecules are approximately 80 nucleotides in length. Their secondary structure includes four short double-helical elements and three loops (D, anti-codon, and T loops). Further hydrogen bonds mediate the characteristic L-shaped molecular structure. tRNAs have two regions of fundamental functional importance: the anti-codon, which is responsible for specific mRNA codon recognition, and the 3' end, to which the tRNAs corresponding amino acid is attached (by aminoacyl-tRNA synthetases). tRNAs cope with the degeneracy of the genetic code in two manners: having more than one tRNA (with a specific anti-codon) for a particular amino acid; and 'wobble' base-pairing, i.e. permitting non-standard base-pairing at the 3rd anti-codon position. The record is from Rfam by way of RNAcentral. RNAcentral also lists the same sequence under 2 other names. Lineage: Eukaryota; Metazoa; Chordata; Mammalia; Rodentia; Sciuridae.